AAGCACUCGAAAGGAAGUCAAGCUGGGGAAGAGCCUCCUUGGGUACGCAGAACAAAGUCACAGUGCCCACGGGAAGGCAGUGCCGUGUGAUGAGGAGCUGCGCCAGGGCUGGAGAAAGCCUGAGUCCUGCUGCAUCCCGAAGGAAGCAGAGAUGAUGGGCUUGUGUGACUUCAAGCAUAAGAAACAACUGCUUCUGAAAGGAAAUUUCUUUUGCAAUGCCUCCAAAAGUGACAUCCAUUGAAAAAGUCUCACCUCUCUAAGCAGGCACUGUACAUAUUCAACUGAAGAGAGCCUUACAGAUUUGUUCCUGCUAAGAAGCUAGCGUGACGUUACCACAGUGUUGCUCCGUCAGCGGGCAGUGGCACAUAGCAGGCAUGGACCCAGGCAUGCAGUACAGCCAGCACACAGCCCUGCCGAGAGCCCACCAUGCACAUCUCUGCCUUGCUUCACCACUUUGGCCCAAGCUCCUGAGCCAAUGUCUCUGUCCCACAUUCAGCUCCAAGCAUUCUGAAGAAUGUCGAGGAGCAGAGUGUGAGUGGCUGUGAAAUUAAGUUGGGCCUCAGGAGAGCAGUCUAUAAUUGUCACAAGGUUCCUGUGCGGCCAUUGCAAGGUGGGCUUUCUGCGUGCCUUAUUGCUGCAGUUGGUGUUAUACAGCACAGCAGCAGCAAAGCCGUGAAUGCAUACACAAGAUAUGUCCUCUGAUAUGACAUAUCCCAUCGGUAACUCUUGCAUACCUGAAGAUAUUCCAAUUAUAUAACCACCUCUGGAAACAGAGAGGAAUAAGACCUGGGAUUACAUCUCUGAUGCAGUGAGCUGCAGCACAACCUAGAAGGGUUGAUCCAUUGCCCACCAAAGAUCACCUUCUGCUCACUAGGACAUCAAACCUCACAGCAUCCUCAUACGAUGAGAACCUUUUGCUGGAUCCCCGCUUGGGAGCAAGUUCUUGCUGAUUGAGAAGCUCAUGAGAUACAUCUCAUUUCCCUGGAGGUCCUCAGGGAGGCAGCGGUCAGACAAUCCUUUCCUAGCCUACUUUGGGCAACGCUGGUGGUACAGCACUGCUGGCACUGCAUGUGAGCUGCUGUGCUGGUACUGGGCUCCUUGGGCAGAGCGUGAUUCAGCCUUCAGUAUUACAGCAGUCAUUAUUCCAAAGGAGCCCGCAGUUUGGGACCAAACAGUGAUGGUCACAGAUACUGAAUCAACUGGAUAAAGCACCAGCCAAAUACAUUUCUGUGAAGAGUUUCAAAGUUGGUGUUUCCCACUGGAAAAAAUAUAGCACUUUUCAUCUCAUUCUACUUGACCCAGCAAACCGAGCUGGGCUCCAGGAGCGACACACAUCUGAAAUGUGCUGUGAGGUGCAGCCAUGCUCUCCCUGUCACUCAGGAAGCCCACUGCCGGGGCACAGCUGUGGGACAGGAGCUCAUGCCAGUGCCCAGCUGAUGAAGUGAAGGGACCGUGUGCUGCUGGCUCUGAAGUGAAAACAAUCACUCUGAAAUCUUAGAGCUUCCUCAGAAAUGUAAAAAAAAUGGGGUGGGAGCACAAGUUAAUUGUGCUUUUACACACUGUUAUACUUGUCACCGUGCCAGACUCUACAUUUCUUCCAAGGGUGAAAUGAAAACUCCAAAUUCAUCUGGUUAUGAAACAAUCUCAGUAUGAGCACUCAGUGAAGAAUUAUAAAGUGGGAAAGACACAGUCCUGUGUCUCAGCUGGUUGAGAAGGCUCUGAAUUGAUCAAGGCUUAUUCCAGUGUGGAGGAGUUUUCUGGAGUGUACUGAAACCAUUCUGCAUCUGCAUAUCGAAUGCAUAUAAAGAACCGCAGAAAAGCUGAUGUGUUAUGACAUUACUUUGAUUAGGAGAUGAGGCAACUGGCAGAAGGCAUCACUGUAAUUGCAAGAAGUCUCAUUUCUCUGCAUCUAGAAAUUUAGGAAAUGAGUCUGGUUUGUCUGCUUUACACCAGAAUCGACUCAUACAUUGCAAACACGGCGAGAACUCAUUGGCACUAUAGGGUACUCCUGGAGAUAAGAUGGUGGUGGGAGACCUGGAUGAGCAAGGACUGAACACCUCUUUCUCUGCCUACAGUGUAUGGGAACUGUUGAGUCACAGCCUGAACCACUGAUUGAUCACCUGAGGGAAGGAGUGGGUGAGCUGUGGGGGACACAGGUAAAGGCAAUUCAGCUAUGUGACUGUAAGGGCUGGAACAAGGUUCCACUCCUCCUAGACCCCAUUUAAGGGCUGACUGCCACUGGGAAAAGAGCUCUUUCUGGAGAUCGCUCCUUUGUGGAGUCUUUCAUUAUGAGCCUGAAUCUUUGGAUACAGGUGAACAUUCCUUCUCUGUCUGUUCCUUUGCCAUCUCGUUAUGAUACUCUUUCCAACUGUACAUUUGUUGACUGUACAUACAGUAAUGCAGCUGAGAUACUCGAAGCUAUUUGUAAGCUUAGCUGGAGACAGCCCUACUCUCUGUUAGUCAUGAGACUAAUGAAGUGCAGUGCCAAUUUAAAAUCAGGCUAACCCUUAUGUUUCUGUCCUCUGUGCUUCCAUGUGCUUCAUUGAGGCUGGAAGUAUAAGGUCAGUCCUGAUUAGCAUCACCAUGAAAGGAGAACCAGUCCAAAAUAACAGUCUCAUUGUACAAGUAGUGUUUUAUUUUUAUUUUAUUUUUAUUGUUAUUAGAGAUAAGCCGAAGAGUCAAAG
Molecule: long non-coding RNA, 2684 nt
Organism: Gallus gallus (chicken)
Lineage: Eukaryota; Metazoa; Chordata; Aves; Galliformes; Phasianidae
Exons: 10
Source: RefSeq, a predicted model, not a curated record